RNAcentral lists this long non-coding RNA (250 nucleotides) under Elaeis guineensis (African oil palm). RNAcentral's name for it is "long non-coding RNA (EGUI_LNC080138)". Lineage: Eukaryota; Viridiplantae; Streptophyta; Magnoliopsida; Arecales; Arecaceae. The record is from RNAcentral.
GAGGAAGUGCACCUCAGUGGCUAGCUACGAUCUAUCAAACCACACAGCUGCAACAGACAUCCAAGUCGAGCUCAGCAUCAGGGUUACCUCAUCGAUCAACUGGUGGGAUAGAGGCCUAGUGCUCCCAAAAGGGAUCAGAUGUCAGCAUCGGGCUCGACAUCCAAGGUUGGAGAUCGGUUAAUUAAAACACAGUUAGUGAACAUGUGGAUGGGGAUGCAUGCAGAGGCUAGGGUCCAGUGCAUAGAUCAGC